GUUUGUACAUGACAAAUUGUUCAAUAAAAAUAAUUUAAAAAAAACUUCAUGGAAGUACCGCCCACAUUUCGCGCAAAGCAUCAUGGGUCGUACGAAUAAGGUGCAUAGGCAAUACACGGGCAUCGGAGAGAGCGCUGGAAAUAACACAGAAACAACAGUCACAUUUUAUAACAAUUCUUUUAAAAUGGUAUCUUUGGCAUUGAAUUAGUGGUCACUGGAUCAGACCGGUCUGGUGCCACUCUAUCAACUAGAUCAUCACUGCUUGGAUUUAACUCAACAGCUCUGAAUACCUCUGGAUGUAUCUUUCUCAAAUUACGUUUAUUUCGUCAAAAGAUCUGACCAUUUGGUGACUGUACAUUAUACGACCGUGGUUCCUCUCUCUUACGUAGUACUGUUGCUGGUUUCCAUCCCUCUCGAGUUUGCAUAUGUACAGUCUCACCUGCUACUAGCCCUGGCAAACUUCUAGAUCUGACAUCAUAGUACUUCUUCUGACGAGCUUGUAGAUCGACCAGUCUACUGUGCUUCUGCACAAGAGAUCUUUGUCACAACAUCUUGGUGGAACAUGGUAUAGUACUGUGAAGAAUUUGUCCCAUCAACAUUUGUGCUGAAGAUAUACUCGAUCCUGUGACUGGUAUUUCGCAAUGAUAACAAAGCUAGAUGUAUAUCCUCACCUGAACACCUGAACCUUUUUCAGAACACGUUUCACAGUUUGCACUGUUCGCUCAGCAAGUCCAUUUGAUUGUGGAUAUCCUGGACUGGAAAACAAAAGCCUUAUUUGCUGAUAUGUGGGAUAAUGUUCUCAUUUCUUGACUUGCAAAUGUUACAUGGUCACUCACAAUUUCUUUUGGUAUGCCAUAUCUUGCAAAUGUUGCUUUCAUAAAUUGUAUGUCUGAAUGGGCAGAUUUGUCUCUCAAAUUAAGCACUUCUAUAUAUUUUGUCAUAUAGUCAACUAACACCAGGAAAGACUGACCUUGCAAUUCAAAGAUGUCUGCUCCAAGCUUCAACCAGGGAACAUCUGGGAUGUCAUGUGACUGAAGAGGUUCUCUUUGAUUUUGAGGUUGGAACUUUUGACAUAUGCCACAUAUGCUUACCGUGCUCUCAAUAUCUUUUGACAUGCCAGGCCAAAACACAACUUGCCUUGCUCGUGCAGUUUGUUGUAUACCUUGAUGUCCAAUAUGUAACCUCUGUAACAAAGCGGACUUUAAUUUCUCUGGAAUGAGGAUUCUAUCUCCCAUCAUUAGCACAUCAUUCUGCAUAGUAAUGUUGUGUCGCACUGACCAGAAUUUGUGCAAUUUCUCCUUCAGCCUGCUGCAUUGCUUACCCCAGUCAUUUUUAUGAGCUUCUUUUAUGGCUUGCAGGAUGUCAUCUGUUUGACUCGUUUCUUUUAGUUGUUUCAACAUUUCUGAACUUAAAGAAUCAGUAGCUUCUAGCAAAUACACUACUUUCUCCUGAAACAGGUCUUCAUUGUCCUCAUUAGCAUCUUGUUUUCUCACUGCUGCCCAUGACAAUGUGUCUGCAAUCCACAUACAGUUACCUGGUGUGUAUUGAAUCCUCAGAUCAUAUCCUCGUAAAUGAAGCAUUUGCUGCAGUCUUGCUGGUGCUUUAUUCAGUGGUUUUCGAAAAAUAUUCUCAAGUGGCUUAUGAUCAGACUGCACUGUCACUACCUUACCAUACACAUACUGAUGAAAGUAUCUGACAGCAAAAACAAUGGCCAGCAACUCCUUUUCAAUUUGUGCAUAAUUUUUCUCAGUAUCUGUAAGUGCCCGUGAACUAUAGUACAAGGGAUGCCCUUCUUGCAUGAGCACAGCUCCUGAGCCAUCCUUUGAUGCAUCAGCUUGAAUUACCAACUGUUUAACAGGAUCAUAGUACUUAAGGAAUGGUGCUUGAGUUAAGGCUACCUUGAGACUUUCUAAAGCCUUAUCAUGCUCAGGGCUCCACUGCCAUUCAGCUUCUUCUCUCAACAAAUACCUUAACGGAGCAGUUAUUGUUGCUUCAUUUUGGAUAUACUGGGAUAAAUAUCUGGUCAUUCCCAGAAAUAUCUGAAGUGCCUUCUUGUUCUCUGGUGGUGGCAUUUUAACAGUUGCUUGAACUUUAUCUCCACCAUGUUUUACCCCUUCCGAGGUGAUGAUAUGUACCAUAUACUUGACAGUGUGAACUUUAUACUGCAACUUGUCCUUACUCAACUUAACAUUAGACUUUUUUGCUCCCUCCAUGACUUGACGUAAAAUCUCAUCAUACACUUGCUCUGAUGAUGCAGCAAUGAUCAUGUCAUCAGUAACGAUAUGCACUCCCUCAAUAUCUCCAUUCUUUUGUUGGAAAACUUCACUGGCUGAUUUAAUACCAAAUGGAAGCCUCAAGAAGCGAUACCUUCCCUGUGGUGUACUGAAAGUGCACAGCAUGGAUGAUGGUUCAUCCAAUUUUACUUGCUAGUACCCAUCCUUUUCAUCUAGGAGAGAAAAGAUCGAUUUACCAGCCAAUUUGCAUCUCACAUCAUCAGGCGUAGGAAUGGAGAAAUAUUGUCUUUUUUUGUAGCCUUGUUCAGUUCUCUUGGGUCCAAUCACACUCGUAAUGCUCCAUUCUUUUCUCUGUGAUCACCAGGCUGUUUACCCAAUCAGAUGGAUCUUGCACUGGAGUUAUAACUUUAGCUCUCACUAGCUCAUGUAAAAUAGAUUUUAAUCUGUCCAAUAUAGCUAGAGGAAUUUUCCUACAUCCCUGUACUACUGGAGUUAUAUUUGGAUCAACAUGUAUGUGGUGAACUCUAGGAAACUCACCAAGCCCUGUAAAGACAGAUGAAUAUUCUUGAAUCAUUCCAUUUCUUGUCAUUGGUCCUUUUACUCCAAUUGCCUCUAUUCUCUUCACCAACUGUAAGGCUUCACAGGCUUCUCGGCCUAAAAUUGGAGUACUGGAUUGACAGGAAAUAAAGAAUUGCAAUAAAGAUUUAGCUUUAGGCGUAACAUUCUACCCCAUACGCUGGACAUUGUCUUAGUUCAUGCAGCUGCCCACAUCUCCAACAUUUGUUUACAGGUUGAAUCUUAUUUUUCUCUUUACUUUUAUAAUUCAUUGUCAUCCCUUUUUUUUUUUCAGAGCAAAUUUUUGACUUUCUGAUCACUUGAAUUGCUGCUUCUGAAUCCACUUGUCCUGUCUGCAUUACCAUGAUCUGAUUUUUUUGCCGCUUCGGCUGCUCUGCAUAUGUCUAAUGCUUUCACUAGUGUCAAACCCGUUUCUCUGAGCAGUCUCUCUUUCAUUCGUGUCUAUUAGACUAAACACCAGUUUGUCUCUUAUCAUAUCAUUUUCACUUUGGCCAAACUCAGUCUUUUGACUUCUGACAUAGCUCUGUGACAAACUUAUCCACUGAUAGUCCGUCUGCCAUCUUAUGCGACCAAAACUGAUGCCGUUCAAACAAUAUUUUUCUGUGGGCUACAGUACUGUUUGAAAGCUUGCAAAAUCUCUUGCAUAGUAUGAUUUCGUUUGUCUUCAUAGUUGAUCGUGAGAGUGUUAUAAACUUCAAGUGCCUCUUUGCCUAUUGUGUGAAGCAAAAUCGCUAUUUUAACAUUCUCAUCUUUUUCUUCAGCCCCAGUUGCCAUCAUAUACAAUAAAAAUUCUCUGCGACAUUGCCUGAGAGCAUUAGAGGCGAUGGUGGCUUAAAUUGUUCCAUUUAGCCGUUUAUCCUUUUCCAAAAAAACACAGACUUACUUCACUGAUGUGCCGUUCACUCGUUUGCAUCAGGGAUUCUUCAUUCGGCACCUGUUUACAUUCUCGUACUGCUGAGCCACGACUUCUGACACCAUGUCAUGUUUGUCGAUAAUGUGGGUUUCUUUCGGUGUUUGCGGGCUACUGGAAUUGCUGCAGACAGACUCACAGCCAUACCAUGCUUCAAUGCUUAUUAUGUGUCUUUAUUCUCAAACCACACCUCUUUUAAGAGGACCAUGUGAUCAAACACACCUAAAACUCAUUACACACAACAUCAAUCAUAUUUGAAUAAUUUCCACUGUGCGCAGUCUUAUGAGUUAACAAUAAUAUCGCCUCAGUGAAUUAGUGAAUAAAGAAAACACUUAGCAUUUUAAUGGCAAAAUAAAAAAAUAACCAUAUCAAAUAUCUAUAUAAAUAAAUCAUAAAUUGUUAAAAUAUACCUGUAUGAUUUUGGAUUGCUAUAUUUUAUUAUGUUAUAUUUAAUUAUCAAGUUUUGACAUGUUAAAAACUAAAACAUUACAGCCAGCAUGAAAUAAAACAUUGCAAGAAUGAAAUGAAGGUAACUGGCAUCUCUCACUCACCCUGCACUCAGUCCUCCUCGCGUUAGAUUAUGGACAAUAUAGCGUCGGCGAGUACAUCGGCAGUACACUCUAAAUCAGAAAGCAUUGUGGGUAAGAAUGAGUGGACAAAUGUAGGGAACGAGAUGUAGGGAAGGAAUUCGUACACUACUACAAAAUGGCCCACACCCAAAAUAGUGCACUAUACAGUGGCUAGGGGGCGAUUUCGGACACAGUGAAAUAUUAUUUAGCAGAGAUGGGCCACUUCUAUUAAAAUGAAUGGGAGAAAUGGGAACGCUCAACCAAAGAGCUCUGAGCGCCCAAAGGUCAACGGAUGUAGAAAGGAGGUCCCGCCUUACAGGUUAAAGAGCCAAUCACUUUUUAGAUACAGACGUCGCCUGUCAAUCAACUCUAGAACGCGCAUGCGCAUUAACUAUACAAGCCGGGAAAAUUGCGUUUUUAGCGUAAUAUGGGGUAAAGAAUCACAAGUUAUGAUUCCAGUAUCGUCAGAUUUUAUAGCUGAUUUGAAAUAUAUUAUUUGAUCGUAAUCUUGAACAACCGUUUUUGAGAUUUCGGUCUUUCUCCAUUCAAGUAGAUAGGAGCUGCACUGGACUGGAAAUAGCCUCAUGAGAGCGUUCCAAAGAUGGCCGACAGUGUACUGACUUACUAGAAGCACUUUGUUAUAAUGCUUACCAAACACAUUUGAUCCCCUGACAACAAAUAUGUUAAUAGAAAAAACCCAUCUUAUAUUUUCAUCCGCGAAUAUUGAGUACCGGCAUUUGCACGUCUUUGAGAGCUGUGGACAAAGUGAAACUAAAACUUGGAGUCGUUUUUAAUCCAAUCACAGCCUGGAUCGCACAGUUGUUAGGCAGACAGCUGUGUUUAAGGUUUAUUGCAAGUAUAAAAACACUGGAAUGAUCCUCAACUUUUUAAUCACAAAUCAGUUUAAUAUGAAUACAAGUUCAAUCUGAAAGCUUAAGACAUUGAGCUGGCAGAACAAGAUAUAAAAUAAAUACUGAUUCCAAAUGCAAAUAAAUAAGCACAAUUAUUUUAGUAGGUUUUAUCAACUUUAUUUCCCCUUUAGAAUGGCAUUAUUUUUCCUAGGGAUUAACUAACAUACAUUCAUAUGAAUUAAAAACUCAUUGACAGCAGUCUGAAUUUGUAAGCGAUUUUAGAUUUAAAAUGAACAACUGUGCUUAAAAUAGACAAAUUAUUGUAGUCUGUCUAAUGAAUAAAUCUGAAAACAAAGCCAAAAUAAGCCAAAAAAUAUAGCUUGUUUCACCAUUUUUACUUGCACAUUAUUACUCCUGCAUAGUCUACAUAACAUUUACACAAAGAGGAAAGAAACCAGUGAAACAACAACCAGAAACCAUAGAAAAACCCAUACAGAAAAAUGUAGCAGCUAUACUUUGGUUAAAUAAACUUCACUCUCAUGGAGAAAAGAAUAAUAUGAUUAAGCCAACUCAAGGAAAAACUAAAAUAAAUGAAUCAGGUUAGUUAUUAUGUAAUUUGUAUGAACUGUGCAUCUUGAGCAACAUCAUUUAUUUGAUGGGAUAGCUGCGGUCUAUGUUGAUUGUGAAAAAUUUCCAAAAACAUGAGAAAUUAUCCUAAGAGGGAAAGAAAAACAUAAUUAAUUGUCUUCAAGGAGCAGUUCACCCAAAACUGAAUUUAAAAAAAAAAAAAAAGAAAAAAGAAAAAGAA
Molecule: long non-coding RNA, 5948 nt
Organism: Myxocyprinus asiaticus (Chinese sucker)
Lineage: Eukaryota; Metazoa; Chordata; Actinopteri; Cypriniformes; Catostomidae
Exons: 2
Source: RefSeq, a predicted model, not a curated record